CCUACGGGUGGCAGCAGUGAGGAAUAUUGGUCAAUGGGCGGAAGCCUGAACCAGCCAAGUAGCGUGCAGGAUGACGGCCCUACGGGUUGUAAGCUGCUUUUAUACGGGACUAACGCGCCUUACGUGUAGGGCUUUGCAUGUACCGUAUGAAUAAGGACCGGCCAAUUCCGUGCCAGCAGCCGCGGUAAUACGGAAGGUCCGGGCGUUAUCCGGAUUUAUUGGGGUUAAGGGGUGCGCAGGCGGUCUGUUAAGUCAGCGGUCAAAGCCCGGGGCUCAACCCCGGCCCGCCGUUGAAACUGGCAGUCUCGAGUUGGAGAGAAGUAUGCGGAAUGCGCGGUGUAGCGGUGAAAUGCAUAGAGAUCGCGCAGAACUCCGAUUGCGAAGGCAGCUUGCUGCAGCGGAACUGACGCUGAUGCUCGAAAGCGCGGGUAUCGAACAGGAUUAGAUACCCCAGUAGUC
Molecule: ribosomal RNA, 459 nt
Filed under: uncultured bacterium
Lineage: Bacteria
Description: partial 16S ribosomal RNA
Rfam family: Bacterial small subunit ribosomal RNA
Source: RNAcentral